Eptesicus fuscus (big brown bat) is the source of this 232-nucleotide long non-coding RNA. RefSeq lists it as uncharacterized. The transcript is spliced from 3 exons. The record is from RefSeq and is a predicted model, not a curated record. Lineage: Eukaryota; Metazoa; Chordata; Mammalia; Chiroptera; Vespertilionidae.
UUCAUGGUAGAAGGCAAAGACUGUGCACAGGGACCAUGAGUGGAGAGCAUGCUCAGAGGACAGUUGCCAGAAUUUCACUGGAUGUGUCGCCAUCAUAGAGAACUAAUUGAGAGAAUGAAGGUUGUAUUAUUUGGAGAAGAGAGGACUCAUUUGGGUCACUGUGCUGGUAGGAAGGCAAAAUGAGGCUGGCCGACCGAGAAACCACCAGCUUCAAGAUAUUCAGAGCUUCUCU